RNAcentral lists this transfer RNA (66 nucleotides) under Stolotermes ruficeps. RNAcentral describes it as "tRNA-Asn". Lineage: Eukaryota; Metazoa; Arthropoda; Insecta; Blattodea; Termopsidae. The record is from RNAcentral.
UUAACUGAAGCCAAAAAGAGGCGUAUUACUGUUAAUAAUAAAACUGAGUAUGACACUCCAGCUAAA